AACAGCGCGGUGGUCCCACCUGACCCCAUGCCGAACUCAGAAGUGAAACGCCGUAGCGCCGAUGGUAGUGUGGGGCCUCCCCAUGCGAGAGUAGGGAACUGCCAGGC
Molecule: ribosomal RNA, 107 nt
Filed under: Pantoea sp. VS1
Lineage: Bacteria; Pseudomonadati; Pseudomonadota; Gammaproteobacteria; Enterobacterales; Erwiniaceae
Source: RNAcentral